AACGGCGGCCGUAACUAUAACGGUCCUAAGGUAGCGAAAUUCCUUGUCGGGUAAGUUCCGACCUGCACGAAUGGCGUAACGACUUCCCCACUGUCUCCAACAUAGACUCAGCGAAAUUGAAUUCCCCGUGAAGAUGCGGGGUACCCGCGGUCAGACGGAAAGACCCCGUGAACCUUUACUACAGCUUCACAGUGGCAUUAAAGAACUUAUGUGUAGGAUAGGUGGGAGGCUUUGAAGCUUUGGCGCCAGCCAGAGUGGAGCCAACCUUGAAAUACCACCCUUAAUUUCUUUGAUGUCUAACCGCGCCCCUGGAUGGGGCCGGGACCCUGUGUGGCGGGUAGUUUGACUGGGGCGGUCGCCUCCUAAAGAGUAACGGAGGCGCGCGAUGGUAGGCUCAGAGCGGUCGGACAUCGCUCGUUGAGUGCAAUGGCAUAAGCCUGCCUGACUGCGAGCUCGACGGAGCGAGCAGAGACGAAAGUCGGUCAUAGUGAUCCGGUGGUCCCGAAUGGAAGGGCCAUCGCUCAACGGAUAAAAGGUACUCCGGGGAUAACAGGCUGAUGAUGCCCAAGAGUCCAUAUCGACGGCAUCGUUUGGCACCUCGAUGUCGGCUCAUCACAUCCUGGGGCUGGAGCAGGUCCCAAGGGUUCGGCUGUUCGCCGAUUAAAGUGGUACGUGAGCUGGGUUCAGAACGUCGCGAGACAGUUUGGUCCCUAUCUGCCGUGGGUGUUGGAUACUUGAGAGGAUUUGUCCCUAGUACGAGAGGACCGGGAUGAACACACCUCUGGUGGACCUGUUGUGGCGCCAGCCGCAUUGCAGGGUAGCUAUGUGUGGACGGGAUAACCGCUGAAAGCAUCUAAGCGGGAAACCCACCUCAAAACCAGGUAUCCCUGAGAGCCGUGCAAGACCAGCACGUCGAUAGGCCGGGUGUGGAAGCGCUGCGAGGCGUGAAGCUAACCGGUACUAAUUGCUCGAUAGGCUUGAUCGA
This 985-nucleotide ribosomal RNA is filed under the name Gammaproteobacteria bacterium. RNAcentral describes it as "partial 23S ribosomal RNA". It matches the Rfam family "Bacterial large subunit ribosomal RNA", at positions 1926 to 2925 of the family's 2925-position model. Lineage: Bacteria; Pseudomonadati; Pseudomonadota; Gammaproteobacteria. The record is from RNAcentral.